This 900-nucleotide ribosomal RNA is filed under the name uncultured bacterium. Its description in RNAcentral is "bacterial SSU rRNA". It matches the Rfam family "Bacterial small subunit ribosomal RNA". The record is from RNAcentral.
GGGGCGGCCUUACAUGCCAGUUCGAGCGAAGCACUUUUUUAGAACUCUUCUUGAUGGAAUAGAGGGUGACUUAGCGGCGGACGGUUGAGUAACGCGUGGGCAACCUGCCUUACACUGGGGGAUACCUAUUAGAAAUGAUUGCUAAUACCGCAUAAGACCACGGUACUGCAUGGUACAGAUGUAAAAACUGAUGUGGUGUACGAUGGGCCCGCGUCUGAUUACGUAGUUGGUGGGGUAGAAGCCUACCAAGCCGACGAUCAGUAGCCGACCUGAGAGGGCGACCGGCCACAUUGGGACUGAGACACGGCCCAAACUCCUACGGGAGGCAGCAGUGGGGAAUAUUGCACAAUGGGGGAAACCCUGAUGCAGCGACGCCGCGUGAGUGAGGAAGUAUUUCGGUAUGUAAAGCUCUAUCAGCAGGGAAGAAAAUGACGGUACCUGACUAAAAAGCCCCGGCUAACUACCUGCCAGCAGCCGCGGUAAUACGUAUGGGGCAAGCGUUAUCCGGAUUUACUGGGUGUAAAGGGAGCGUAAACGGACUUGCAAGUCUGAUGUGAAAAUCCGGGGCCCAACCCCGGAACUGCCUUGGAAACUGUAUAUCUAUAGUGUCUGAGAGGCCAGUGGAAUUCUCUGAUGUAGCGGUGAAAUGCGUAUAUAUCAUGAGGAACACCAGUGCCGAAGGCGGCUUGCUGGACCAUGACUGACCUUCGAAGCUCCAAAACGUGGGGAACCAACACGAAUAAAUACACUGUUAGUCCCCGCCUUAAACAAUGACUACUAAGUGUCGGGAGUCUUAGCUCUUUUCUGUCGACUCCCCCCUUAUAAUAAAUAUCCCACCUGGGGAAGUAUUUUCACUCCAAUGAAUUCCAUAGGACUUGCCGCCCACCCCUUACUUUUUUU